This is a long non-coding RNA of Carassius gibelio (silver crucian carp), 811 nucleotides long. RefSeq lists it as uncharacterized. NCBI's taxonomy places the organism in Eukaryota, Metazoa, Chordata, Actinopteri, Cypriniformes, Cyprinidae. The transcript is spliced from 3 exons. The record is from RefSeq and is a predicted model, not a curated record.
GUUUCAUAACUUAAUCGAGGUCACCUGAAGGACGGCGUUCCUGAGUUUCCUCAGCAACGGCAAGACCCGCACUCCUCUCAUAUCGGGAAGUUUAACGAGUUUCGCGGCUCAAGCAAGAGGCACCUGUCACUGAAGGACUGCUUGACGUGAACAGCAUUACUCGAAUUUCCUGGUUCAGCUGAUCUACCCGUCUUCGUACACGCAGAGUUGGCAGAGGAGGUCAUAAAAAUCUACAUCCUUCGGGACAAUGAUGGGGCAGUCAGCGAUGUAGGAGUUGUGAUUGAGGGCAUCACUGUCCUCCGCAGUCUUGGGAAUCUCAGCAGAGUCUGCUGCUAUCUUUUGGGAGUCACGUAUGCAUUGGAUUUGAGAUAUCCCAAGACCCACAAAUACAGGUCCUUCUCAAAAAAUUAGCUUAUUGUGAUAAAGUUCAUUAUUUUCCAUAAUGUAAUGAUAAAAAUUAAACUUUCAUAUAUUUUAGAUUCAUUGCAAACCAACUGAAAUAUUUCAGGUCUUUUAUUGUUUUAAUACUGAUGAUUUUGGCAUACAGCUCAUGAAAACCCCAAAUUCUCAAAACAUUAGCAAAUUUCAUCCGACCAAUAAAAGAAAAGUGUUUUUAAUACAAAAAAAAAAGUCAACCUUUAAAUAAUUAUGUUCAGUUAUGCACUCAAUACUUCGGGAAUCCUUUUGCAGAAAUGACUGCUUCAAUGCGGCGUGGCAUGGAGGCAAUCAGCCUGUGGCACUGCUGAGGUGUUAUGGAGGCCCAGGAUGCUUCGAUAGCGGCCUUAAGCUCAUCCAGAGUGUUGGGUCUUGC